Molecule: long non-coding RNA, 213 nt
Organism: Lonchura striata (white-rumped munia)
Lineage: Eukaryota; Metazoa; Chordata; Aves; Passeriformes; Estrildidae
Source: RefSeq, a predicted model, not a curated record
CUUCAAAAUCCAGUUAUCCAGAAUGCAAUCCCUAUAAACUUCUGGGAACUAUGGAUUUCAGGAAAGUCAGACCAAUAUUACACAAGCAUAUUGAACUUUAUGGAACUGGCUCAUUUGCCUGGCAUCCCUGGAAGUCUCUGCCUUAUGUCACUUCCUAAGUGCACAUACCAGCUGAUUGAAUCCUUUAUUAAAUUAGAUACUGAAUAAGAAAAG